Molecule: long non-coding RNA, 4729 nt
Filed under: Medicago truncatula (barrel medic)
Lineage: Eukaryota; Viridiplantae; Streptophyta; Magnoliopsida; Fabales; Fabaceae
Description: long non-coding RNA (MTRU_LNC003807)
Source: RNAcentral
AUAUGAAACGAUUAAAACCACCAAUCUCUACUUUUAUUGAGAGAAGACUAAUUUUAAAUUUGUCAGCAACACUGGAAAAAAAAGAAGAGUACAAGUGCUAGUAAUUUUAAACUUCGAAAAUUUUUACACCACAAUUUCCAAGAGUGGUCAACAUGUCAGCUCGUCAGUUGACUCACCAAAUUUUAGAUAGCCCCACCCCAAUGCCAUGUAUUCCCAAACAGGCCCCCACCUUCUCCAAUAAUGGAAGAGUUUUCGUAAUUUUUUUUAAAAGAAAAAAAUUCUAAAUGGUUUUAAUAGAAAAGUGUAUCCAAAUUGAUACGUUAGACCUCUAUCAACAAAAUAAAAAAAAAAUAUAUAUAUAUAUAACAAGUAAAAAUUUCAAACGGUCCGUUUUGAAACAGAUUGUAUAACCCUUGCUGAUGCCAUUCACACUACCUCCACUCACCUCAAUGAAGUUUGAGACAUUAUUUCUCAAUGCAGAGGUCUCUUGUUUACAAAUACCGACUUUAAAGUGUCGUAUAUUAGGAGGCAAGUUAAUAGGGUUGCUCAUAGUAUAGCUAGAGCUUCUUUAUCUCAUCCUAGCCCCCAUCUUUUUUAUAGUGUACCUUCAAAUUUGUACUCUUUGUUCUUGAAUGAAAUGCAUUAAUUUUGCCUUUGCUAAAAAAAAAAAAAAAACAAGUAAAAAAAACAUGUGAAAACACUUUUUUUAGAUGGUACUUAGCAUUUUGAGAAUUUCAAUCUUUUUAUAUUCUUUUAAUAAAAUUAGUUUGAAUAAUAAUAGUCAUUAGUUUAAAUACUUUUUUAUAAUAUUAAUAAUAUUCACAGAGUCUUUAUGGACUUCCCCUAACUUAAAUUAUAUUGAAUAAAAUGAAAAUUACAUACAAUGUAUGAGUUCUGCUUUCUUGACUUGAAAUUCAUUUAACUUUUUUAAAAUUUAAAAAAAUCGGUCAAAAUAAAAUCCUAGAAUUCAAGGUUUUACUUCUUUAAAUAAAUUCAUUUAAUUCAACAAAAAUUAGUCUUUAUCAAUAGAAGAUAUUCAUUUCAUAUGUUAAGUUUAGUUUAAUUGAAUUUCAAAGGUUUAACAUAGUGAGAACAUAUCUUCAUUCAAAAAAUUUAAAAAAAAAAUUCGAACAUGCCUCCAUGCCGAACGAACAUUAACAAAUGUGCUUAAGUAACAUCCACAAAAGAAUAUUUAGGGGGUGUAUUGAAUUGAGAUUUUAAAAAGAUUAUUUUGGCAAACAAAAUUCUACAGAUUUUAAAAGACUUUGUGAAAUUAUAUUGAUUUUAUAGGAUUUUAAAAGACUUUUUUUAAAUGACUUUUUACAAUCAGGAUUUUAAACACAAGAUUUUAAUGGAUUUAUAACACAUAUUUGCAAAAAUUUCAAUAGAGUUUAUGGAAUUUUUAAGAUUUGAGAGGAUCAUAUUCCCUCAAAAAAAAAAAGAUUUGAGAGGAUCACAUGGAAUCAUGGAUUCUUAAGAAAAAAUCAAAAUGACAAGAGUGAAUGAAAAAAAUUAUGAACUUAUAAUAUAGAAUUGACCAAUAAUAAUUAUAAUAAUAACUCGUUACUAAUAAAUAAUAACAAAACUUUGCACAGAGUGUAAGGUGUACUGACAACAACAAAACAAUCUCCUAAAAAAACAAAAACGAUAAAUUAGAAGAAAAAAUUGACUUAAAAGAAACAUACUCCCUCCGAUCACAGUAUUAUAAGCAAAAAUUAACUUUUUAGAUUCAUUCAUUAAAUGUUGUAUUUGGUCAAUAAUAUAAACUAAAUACAUCAUUUAAUAAAUGAAUCUAAAAAGUUGAUUUUUGCUUAUAAUAGUAAUCGGAGGGAGUCUAACUUAAAAAUCUGUAAUAUUUACGGAUGUAUAACUAAAAAGCAUGUAACGUGUAUAAGAAAAACAUUCGACAAUGAGAAGCAACAAGGAAAAGUUUCAAAUGUAUGGUGUACUGAACAAGGAAUAAUACAGUGAGGGUUUAUCAAUAAUAACAACAAGAAAAGGGGAUGAGUGUGGUAUGAGAUAAGAACAAAAUAAGAAUUAUGGAAGUCUCAAAAAGUCUCAAGAAUAUUUGUGAGAUUGUUGAAUGAGUACGUUAUGUGUAUUUUUAAUUAAAAAGUUUCACAAAAUUCACUCCUUAAAAGAAUUCAUUAAAAUCUGUAUAGACAUUUUACAAGUUAGUCGAAGUCUCAUUUGAAUACCACCAAAUUUCGUUCCCUGCAAUAAAGCUUUGAUUGUUUUGAUUGAACACCAUAAGAUUUAUUUAUAUUUUAUAAAAGUUUUAAUUGAAUAUCUCAAGACCUUUUUAUUUUUAAAAAUUCUUUUAUAAUCCCAUGAAAUCUCAAUUGAAUACACCAACGAAAGUUGCCCUCACAACCGUUCACAUAAGUUAUCUUCUUAUCAAUUGAGUCAACCUUCAUUAAAGAAAAAUAAAAUAUUUUAAAAUAGUACAAACAAAAUUCAUUGCAUCAAAGAGUAAAAAAUAAAAUCGUUAAAUAAAUUAAUUUUUUUCAUUAAAUUAAAUUGACAUUUAUACUAUAUAUACAAAGAAAAAUAUCCUUUCAGCACUUUUGGGUUGACUUUUUCUUUUCAAACAUACCCUCAAUUUUCAAUACAAAUAACACAUGUAACUUUUAAAUAUUAAAACAAAUAACAAACACGAUAUGAAAAAAUAUAUUUUUUUGUUUUUUUUCCUUUUUUUUUUUUGGUGAUGUCCGGUCCUCCGGGGUUCAAACCUCAGACCUUGCAUAUAUUAUGCAUUGUCCUUACCAACUGAGUUAAGCUCACAAAGGACUUGUCUUCCUUUAUCAUUUAAAAAGUGUAACAAACUAGAUGACUAUAUUUAUACUUACUUUUUCAUCAUUCCAAUUAUACCCUCAGUUACGAUGGGUGAAAUUGCUCGGAGGGGCUUUUAGACGAGAUAAAGGUUUUAUUGAGGGGUUAGCCAUGAAGAGAGCUUACAGGGCUGCUAAUUAAUACAUCUUCUUCCUCAGUUACGGAAUCCUCAGAGUUAGCUUCUUCUACUUCGAUCGUGCAUGGGUAUUGCCAAUCUUUUCUUUGGCUUAAGGACGUGCCAACCGAUUCACAUGGAGGAGGUGGCUAUGGUGUUUGAUAAAAAGUUGCGUGAAGCGGUUGAGGACAUUGUGGUUGGUGGAGGUCCUUUCUUUGGGGACCUUCAAUGGAUGUUGGCAUCUUUACCUAUUAGGUUUGGAGGGUUGAGUUUGUACUAAACAUUAUAGGCUUCCUCGUACACUUUUGUGGCUUCUAAGGCACAGUCUUGGGUCAUACAAGAUCAAAUUUUGAGAGACAGUGGGUUAUGUGGCAUGGACUUGGAUUUUGAUAAUGCUUUGGAUGGUCUUCGUGGUACGAUUCUAGAUUUUGAUGUUAGCAGUUUUACUAGCAAUGACACCAUCCCUCCUAAAGCACAACAUGUUUUUGCGAGUGCUCUUUUUAGUAAAAAUGUCAGGAUAUGGAAAUUAAGUUUGACAUGACCACGAGACAGAAGGCAAUUUUUGGAUGUUUGCAAGCAGAACAUGCUCAAGAUUUUCUUCUAGCUAUCCCGAUUGAUUGGUUAGGUCAACAUAUGUCACCAGUGGAGUAUCAUACUAUCCUUAGAUAUCGCCUUAUGAUUCCAUUAUUUCCUAAUGAUGUGGUGUGCCCUGUUUGCCGUAAUGUGUGACUGAAUACUUUUAGGGAGCAUGUCGUUCAUUGUAAUGAGUUUCCCGGAUUUAAGUACAUACAUGACUUUGUUAGGGAUGUACCUUUUGAUAUAUUUAGACGUGCGAGAAUAUCAGUGAAGAAGGAGGCGUCUGUGAACUUCCUGACUAACCCACUAGAUAGAAGAUCAACACUCAGGCCUGCAGAUGUUAUGGUGUACAGAUGGGUAGGUGGAAAACAUGCUUGUGUAGACUUGACUGGGGUUUCACUACUUGUGGGAUUAGGUGUCGGACCUUUUACCGUAGGAUAGGCAGCUCUAAAAUCCGCGUCAAACAAAGUGGCCAAACAUGAGAAAGUGUGUUCUGACAAUCAACAGGUUUUUAUACCAUUUGCUUUUGACACUUUCGGUUUCCUAGCACCAGAGGCGGUUGACCUUCUACAUAGAGUUCAAAAGGUCAUGCAUAGCAAUGUCAUGUCCUCUAAGUCCAUGAAUGUUGUGCUCAUGAGGAUUGAUUUUUCCAUCCAAAAAGGUCUAGCGGCGGAGCUUGUUGUCCGCUUGUCUUCUAUUUAAGUGUAAAUAAUGGUUUAUAUAUAUAAUAAACAAAAUUUUCCAACUGAUUAUACCUCUUAAACAACUUUUUCUAUAAUAAAAUUGUUGUUGGUGUCAUUAAAAAAGAAUUUAGAUUAUAUUAUUUUUGUUAUAUUGUAUUAUUGUCGGUGUCGUUGAAAUAGAUAACGAUGGUUAGUUUGAUUUUUUAUAAUUUGAAAGUAACUAACAUUUAUAUUCUUUUUAGUUUUAAUCAAAAUCAAAAUUUCAUAAAAAAAAAAAAAUUCGUUCAUAAUUUUCAAUAGUUGGCACAGAACGGAAAAAUCCGAGUGCCCGUUUUUUCACUGGUCAACGUUAAACAAAAAAAAAAAUUGUGCUAACGAGGAGGCCCACUAACCUGAAAUGAACGCUAGUAAUCCACUAACCGGGCCUUCUUCUAUAUAAUGUGGGGUCAUCAAAAUCAAUCCAACCCAUUUCUCUUUCUCUUACAGAACGACAACGCUCUUCGAUUCGAUUCUCAUCACUUUC